This 253-nucleotide ribosomal RNA is filed under the name uncultured bacterium. RNAcentral describes it as "partial 16S ribosomal RNA". It matches the Rfam family "Bacterial small subunit ribosomal RNA", at positions 524 to 776 of the family's 1533-position model. The record is from RNAcentral.
GACGUAGGGUGCGAGCGUUGUCCGGAUUUAUUGGGCGUAAAGAGCUCGUAGGCGGCUCGUCGCGUCGACCGUGAAAACCCGCAGCUUAACUGCGGGCUUGCGGCUGAUACGGGCGGGCUAGAGUUCGGUAGGGGAGACUGGAAUUCCUGGUGUAGCGGUGAAAUGCGCAGAUAUCAGGAGGAACACCGGUGGCGAAGGCGGGUCUCUGGGCCGAUACUGACGCUGAGGAGCGAAAGCGUGGGGAGCGAACAGG